AUUCCAGCUCCAAUAGCGUAUAUUUAAGUUGUUGCAGUUAAAAAGCUCGUAGUUGGACCUUGGGACGUCACGGUCGGUCCGCCUUCUUGGUGUGCACUGGCCCUCACGUCCCUUCUGCCGGCGGCGUGUUCCUGGCCUUAAUUGGCUGGGUCGCGGUUCCGGCGCCGUUACUUUGAAAAAAUUAGAGUGCUCAAAGCAAGCCUACGCUCUGAAUACAUUAGCAUGGAAUAACGCGAUAGGAGUCUGGUCCUGUUCCGUUGGCCUUCGGGACCGGAGUAAUGAUUAAUAGGGACUGUCGGGGGCAUUCGUAUUUCAUUGUCAGAGGUGAAAUUCUUGGAUUUAUGGAAGACGAACCACUGCGAAAGCAUUUUCCAAGGAUGUUUUCAUCA
This 389-nucleotide ribosomal RNA is filed under the name Embryophyta sp. RNAcentral's name for it is "partial small subunit ribosomal RNA". It matches the Rfam family "Eukaryotic small subunit ribosomal RNA", at positions 582 to 975 of the family's 1831-position model. The record is from RNAcentral. Lineage: Eukaryota; Viridiplantae; Streptophyta.